CAGAUCAUCUCCAGAAAAAAGCAAGCUAGCUUCUCUUCUGCUCAUAUUCUGGAAUGUGUCCUUUGAAGUAUAGAUCUCCACUAAGAGCUUUCAUGGGGAUCAAGAAUCGGACCUUCGCCAGCAACUUGUCUCAGUAGGCGAAAAAAUGAAUGUCAAGUAGAUGCUUUUACUCAGGAGAUGAUUACUUGGAGCUAGCUGCU
Molecule: long non-coding RNA, 200 nt
Organism: Neltuma alba
Lineage: Eukaryota; Viridiplantae; Streptophyta; Magnoliopsida; Fabales; Fabaceae
Exons: 3
Source: RefSeq, a predicted model, not a curated record